GAUGAAGAACGUAGCGAAAUGCGAUAAGUAAUGUGAAUUGCAGAAUUCAGUGAAUCAUCGAAUCUUUGAACGCACAUUGCGCCCCCUGGAAUUCCGGGGGGCAUGCCUGUUCGAGCGUCUCAGGGACGAACCCUCGCGCGGGUGUACGCGCGGUCGUGGCUGCGGUGGCGUGCCCGAGGCGGCGGCCACCGCGCUGGAAUCCAUGGGCGGACGCCUGCCGCGUGGCCGAGCGUGAUAUGACGCAUUGGCGCUCGCACGCGGAGAGGCUGCCAGCCCUGGCCCGUCUGUCGGGCGGGGGAGAGCAAGACACGUGAACUCCUCGAAUCAGGUAGGGAUACCCGCUGAACUUUAGCAUAUCAAUAAGCGGAGGA
RNAcentral lists this unclassified non-coding RNA (371 nucleotides) under soil metagenome. RNAcentral describes it as "partial contains 5.8S ribosomal RNA, internal transcribed spacer 2, and large subunit ribosomal RNA". The stretch from base 1 to 120 matches the Rfam family "5.8S ribosomal RNA", at positions 35 to 154 of the family's 154-position model. The record is from RNAcentral.